UCCUCUUGGACACCACUUUCCACGAGGCAGGGUCAAGAUGGAGGUAGGCCUUCGACUGCGGAUCCUUCCUCUGACACCGUCCAUGAGAGGAACACAUGAUCUGACUGCAAAGCGUAGCCGCUGAUGUCACGUUUACCAGGGCUCUGCAGAGUAAGGAAAAAGUGGACCACGGACAGACCCGUGUGAAUGAACAGGGAGGGAAAGGAACAAAGGAAUGGCUUCAUUUCCGUCUACUCUCGGCUUCCCUUUGACCUCUGCCUCCUGAACAUUACAUCAGCUGGAGUCAGGGAUCGUCAGGAAGCUAAAACAAUGGCAGGGAAACUGCCAACACACCCUACUAUCUUCCCUUUUUGUCCCAAACACUUUAUGAAUUGUGAUACAUGUGGGGUAAUCCUCUGACUUGGUGAAUUUGAACUGAGGAAUUAUAAAUGGUUGUAACAUCCAAACAUCCAGUUUAUAUGAGAAUACAACAAAACCCACAUUUAAAGGCUCAUAAUGCAAACAAAGUCUGAAACUGAGGAGCACAUAUCCCAAAAAGUUGAUCUGGAUGUAACGUUUUGAGUGGGGGAAAAGUUUCAUCACUCAUCAAAGUGACUUCGUCAGUCUCUGAGGAGUGCAAACAUUACAUCAUUUGUAACUAUAACCUUAUUUUGUGGCUUUAUUAGAAAAAAUAGGAGAUUACCACUAAGUUUCCUCAACUUAUUUGUAAUGACUAUGUAUAAUCUCACUGUAACACGGUCAAAUGUAACAGAAUCCAUGUGAGAACUACCACAAAAAUGGCUACAGUAAGCACCUUUGUUUUACUUUAAAGCACUACAGUUUGUUAAAUGACUCCCAUGUAAACAAUAUAUCUAUUUUACUGUUCAUAAUUCAAA
Oreochromis niloticus (Nile tilapia) is the source of this 875-nucleotide long non-coding RNA. RefSeq lists it as uncharacterized. The transcript has 2 exons. The record is from RefSeq and is a predicted model, not a curated record. NCBI's taxonomy places the organism in Eukaryota, Metazoa, Chordata, Actinopteri, Cichliformes, Cichlidae.